RNAcentral lists this small RNA (883 nucleotides) under Pan troglodytes (chimpanzee). RNAcentral's name for it is "retained intron". Lineage: Eukaryota; Metazoa; Chordata; Mammalia; Primates; Hominidae. The record is from RNAcentral.
GAUGAAGGAGGGAGGGAUGGGCAGGUAGAUGGAUAGAUUAGUGGAUGGAUGGGUGGAUGGGCUGACAAAUGGCUUGUUCCCAGACUGUUUGUCCUUGGGUGGAGUCAUGCAGGUAUCUAUUGCAGCUGGGCCUGAACCGAUAUCUGAAGAGAGAAGUGGAGACAGCGACCAGACAGAUGAGGAUGGAGAACCUGACUCAGAGGCCCAGGCCCAGGCCCAGCCCUUUGGCAGCAAAAAAAAGCGCCUCCUCUCCGUCCACGACUUCGACUUCGAGGGAGACUCAGAUGACUCCACUCAGCCUCAAGGUCACUCCCUGCACCUGUCCUCAGUCCCUGAGGCCAGGGACAGCCCACAGUCCCUCACAGAUGAGUCCUGCUCGGAGAAGGCAGCCCCCCACAAGACUGAGGGCCUGGAGGAGGCUGACACUGGGGCCUCUGGGUGCCAAUCCCAUCCGGAAGAGCAGCCGACCAGCAUCUUGCCUUCUGGACACAGCACCCUGGCUGAGCUCUGCCCGCCUGGAGGCUCCCACAGGAUGGCCCUGGGGACUGCUGCUGCACUCGGGUCGAAUGUCAUCAGGAAUGAGCAGCUGCCCCUGCAGUACUUGGCCGAUGUGGACACCUCUGAUGAGGAAAGCAUCCGGGCUCACGUGAUGGCCUCCCACCAUUCCAAGCGGAGAGGCCGGGCGUCUUCUGAGAGUCAGAUCUUUGAGCUGAAUAAGCGUAUUUCAGCUGUGGAAUGCCUGCUGACCUACCUGGAGAACACAGUUGUGCCUCCCUUGGCCAAGGGUCUAGGCGCUGGAGUGCGCACGGAGGCCGAUGUGGAGGAGGAGGCCCUGAGGAGGAAGCUGGAGGAGCUGACCAGCAACGUCAGUGACCAGGGGACC